Molecule: long non-coding RNA, 351 nt
Filed under: Mus spicilegus (steppe mouse)
Lineage: Eukaryota; Metazoa; Chordata; Mammalia; Rodentia; Muridae
Description: lncRNA (ENSMSIG00000032144.1)
Source: RNAcentral
AGUCUUGCUGUCCUGUUCACUGAGUUCUCCAACUCAUCCCUGAAACCACGCCUCCUCUCAGCUUCAUGAGAAACUCACAGUACAGAGGCAGAGCACCACAUUCAGCUGAUGGCCUUCCUCAGUCAACCAUAACGAACACAUCCCUCUCAACCUGGCCAAGUGUAGAAAAGGCUUCUUCCAGCAAUUUGUUGGACAAGUGCUGCGGAAGAUGGCAAACUUUAAGGAAUUCAUUAUGGCAAAGGUCAGUGCAGCCGCUUUCUAUGGGAUGUCAGAUUGUCUAGUUAUAAUUUGGUAAGUACCACUAGGGUUCAUAUUUCUAAGAGAAUAAAACCAAACCUUUAUUUUUUUUCA